GACGGGCCGGCACAAGCGGUGGAGUAUGUGGUUAAUUCGAUGCAACGCGAAGAACCUUACCUGGUCUUGACAUCCCGGAGACCCUUAGGAAACUAGGGGGUGGCUUCCAUCUGGAAGAAUCUGGAGACAGGUGCUGCAUGGCUGUCGUCAGCUCGUGUCGUGAGAUGUUGGGUUAAGUCCCGCAACGAGCGCAACCCUUGCCUUUAGUUGCCAGCAGUUCGGCUGGGCACUCUAAAGGGACUGCCGGUGUUAAACCGGAGGAAGGUGGGGAUGACGUCAAGUCCUCAUGGCCUUUAUGACCAGGGCUACACACGUACUACAAUGGCCGAUACAAAGGGCAGCGACACUGCGAGGUGAAGCCAAUCCCGUAAAAUCGGUCUCAGUCCGGAUUGGAGUCUGCAACUCGACUCCAUGAAGUUGGAAUCGCUAGUAAUCGUGGAUCAGCAUGCCACGGUGAAUACGUUCCCGGGCCUU
This 474-nucleotide ribosomal RNA is filed under the name uncultured Desulfobulbus sp. RNAcentral describes it as "bacterial SSU rRNA". It matches the Rfam family "Bacterial small subunit ribosomal RNA", at positions 917 to 1381 of the family's 1533-position model. Lineage: Bacteria; Pseudomonadati; Thermodesulfobacteriota; Desulfobulbia; Desulfobulbales; Desulfobulbaceae. The record is from RNAcentral.